GUUUUAAUAGUUUAAAAUAAAAAUAAUGAUCUUGUAAAUCAUAGAUAGAAAAAUCUUUAAAACU
Molecule: transfer RNA, 64 nt
Filed under: Acanthaspis pedestris
Lineage: Eukaryota; Metazoa; Arthropoda; Insecta; Hemiptera; Reduviidae
Description: tRNA-Thr
Source: RNAcentral